CCUACGGGGCGCAGCAGUAGGGAAUUUUCGUCAAUGGGCGCAAGCCUGAACGAGCGAUGCCGCGUGAGUGAAGAAGGCCUUCGGGUCGUAAAGCUCUGUUGCGGGGGAAAAAAGGCAGCAUCAGGAAAUGGGUGCUGACUGAUGGUGCCCCGCCAGAAAGUCACGGCUAACUACGUGCCAGCAGCCGCGGUAAUACGGAGGAUGCGAGCGUUAUCCGGAUUUAUUGGGUUUAAAGGGUGCGCAGGCGGCGUGUCAAGUCAGCGGUAACAUGUCGGGGCUCAACCCCGGCCGGCCGUUGAAACUGG
Molecule: ribosomal RNA, 305 nt
Filed under: uncultured bacterium
Lineage: Bacteria
Description: bacterial SSU rRNA
Rfam family: Bacterial small subunit ribosomal RNA
Source: RNAcentral